AGAGUUUGAUCCUGGCUCAGGAUGAACGCCGGCGGUGUGCCUAAUACAUGCAAGUCGUACGCACUGGCCCAACUGAUUGAUGGUGCUUGCACCUGAUUGACGAUGGAUCACCAGUGAGUGGCGGACGGGUGAGUAACACGUAGGUAACCUGCCUCGGAGCGGGGGAUAACAUUUGGAAACAGAUGCUAAUACCGCAUAACAACAAAAGCCACAUGGCUUUUGUUUGAAAGAUGGCUUUGGCUAUCACUCCGGGAUGGACCUGCGGUGCAUUAGCUAGUUGGUAAGGUAACGGCUUACCAAGGCAAUGAUGCAUAGCCGAGUUGAGAGACUGAUCGGCCACAAUGGAACUGAGACACGGUCCAUACUCCUACGGGAGGCAGCAGUAGGGAAUCUUCCACAAUGGGCGCAAGCCUGAUGGAGCAACACCGCGUGAGUGAAGAAGGGUUUCGGCUCGUAAAGCUCUGUUGUUGGAGAAGAACGUGCGUGAGAGUAACUGUUCACGCAGUGACGGUAUCCAACCAGAAAGUCACGGCUAACUACGUGCCAGCAGCCGCGGUAAUACGUAGGUGGCAAGCGUUAUCCGGAUUUAUUGGGCGUAAAGCGAGCGCAGGCGGUUGCUUAGGUCUGAUGUGAAAGCCUUCGGCUUAACCGAAGAAGUGCAUCGGAAACCGGGCGACUUGAGUGCAGAAGAGGACAGUGGAACUCCAUGUGUAGCGGUGGAAUGCGUAGAUAUAUGGAAGAACACCAGUGGCGAAGGCGGCUGUCUGGUCUGCAACUGACGCUGAGGCUCGAAAGCAUGGGUAGCGAACAGGAUUAGAUACCCUGGUAGUCCAUGCCGUAAACGAUGAGUGCUAGGUGUUGGAGGGUUUCCGCCCUUCAGUGCCGGAGCUAACGCAUUAAGCACUCCGCCUGGGGAGUACGACCGCAAGGUUGAAACUCAAAGGAAUUGACGGGGGCCCGCACAAGCGGUGGAGCAUGUGGUUUAAUUCGAAGCUACGCGAAGAACCUUACCAGGUCUUGACAUCUUGCGCUAACCUUAGAGAUAAGGCGUUCCCUUCGGGGACGCUGAGACAGGUGGUGCAUGGCUGUCGUCAGCUCGUGUCGUGAGAUGUUGGGUUAAGUCCCGCAACGAGCGCAACCCUUGUCAUUAGUUGCCAUCAUUAAGUUGGGCACUCUAAUGAGACUGCCGGUGACAAACCGGAGGAAGGUGGGGAUGACGUCAAGUCAUCAUGCCCCUUAUGACCUGGGCUACACACGUGCUACAAUGGACGGUACAACGAGAAGCGAACCUGCGAAGGCAAGCGGAUCCCUUAAAGCCGUUCUCAGUUCGGACUGUAGGCUGCAACUCGCCUACACGAAGCUGGAAUCGCUAGUAAUCGCGGACCAGCACGCCGCGGUGAAUACGUUCCCGGGCCUUGCACACACCGCCCGUCA
This 1434-nucleotide ribosomal RNA is filed under the name uncultured bacterium. RNAcentral describes it as "bacterial SSU rRNA". It matches the Rfam family "Bacterial small subunit ribosomal RNA". The record is from RNAcentral.